RNAcentral lists this ribosomal RNA (429 nucleotides) under uncultured marine bacterium. RNAcentral describes it as "bacterial SSU rRNA". It matches the Rfam family "Bacterial small subunit ribosomal RNA", at positions 360 to 804 of the family's 1533-position model. The record is from RNAcentral.
AAUAUUGCGCAAUGGGCGAAAGCCUGACGCAGCAACGCCGCGUGAGGGGAUGACGGCUUUCGGGUUGUAAACCUCUUUCGGCAGGGACGAAACUGACGGUACCUGCAGAAGAAGCCCCGGCCAACUACGUGCCAGCAGCCGCGGUAAUACGUAGGGGGCAAGCGUUGUCCGGAUUUAUUGGGCGUAAAGAGCUCGUAGGCGGUUGCGCAAGUCGGAUGUGAAAACUCAGGGCUCAACCCGGAGACGCCAUCCGAUACUGCGCUGACUAGAGUCCGGUAGGGGAGCAUGGAAUUCUUGGUGUAGCGGUGAAAUGUGCAGAUAUCAGGAGGAACACCUGUAGCGAAGGCGGUGCUCUGGGCCGGCACUGACGCUGAGGAGCGAAAGCGUGGGUAGCAAACAGGAUUAGAUACCCUGGUAGUCCACGCCGUA